This 635-nucleotide ribosomal RNA is filed under the name cf. Hymenoscyphus sp. he7-23-5. RNAcentral describes it as "eukaryotic LSU rRNA". It matches the Rfam family "Eukaryotic large subunit ribosomal RNA", at positions 1 to 649 of the family's 3401-position model. The record is from RNAcentral. Lineage: Eukaryota; Fungi; Ascomycota; Leotiomycetes; Helotiales; Helotiaceae.
UUGACCUCGGAUCAGGUAGGGAUACCCGCUGAACUUAAGCAUAUCAAUAAGCGGAGGAAAAGAAACCAACAGGGAUUGCCUUAGUAACGGCGAGUGAAGCGGCAACAGCUCAAAUUUGAAAUCUGGCUCCUUCGGGGUCCGAGUUGUAAUUUGUAGAAGAUGCUUUGAGCGUGGCUCCGGUCUAAGUUCCUUGGAACAGGACGUCAUAGAGGGUGAGAAUCCCGUAUGUGACUGGGUGCCUUCGUUCGUGUAAAGCUCUCUCGACGAGUCGAGUUGUUUGGGAAUGCAGCUCAAAAUGGGUGGUAAAUUUCAUCUAAAGCUAAAUAUUGGCCAGAGACCGAUAGCGCACAAGUAGAGUGAUCGAAAGAUGAAAAGCACUUUGGAAAGAGAGUUAAACAGUACGUGAAAUUGUUGAAAGGGAAGCGCUUGCAACCAGACUUGCACGCUGUUGAUCAUCCGAGGUUUUCCCCGGUGCACUCGGCAGCGUUCAGGCCAGCAUCGGUUUUGGUGGGUGGAGAAAGGCCUUGGGAAUGUAGCUCCUCUCGGGGAGUGUUAUAGCCCUCGGUGCAAUGCGCCCUACCAGGAUCGAGGACCGCGCUUCGGCUAGGAUGCUGGCGUAAUGGUUGUAAGCGACC